RNAcentral lists this ribosomal RNA (764 nucleotides) under uncultured bacterium. RNAcentral's name for it is "bacterial SSU rRNA". It matches the Rfam family "Bacterial small subunit ribosomal RNA", at positions 8 to 748 of the family's 1533-position model. The record is from RNAcentral.
AGGGUUUGAUCCUGGCUCAGAUUGAACGCUGGCGGCAUGCCUAAUACAUGCAAGUCGAACGGCAGCAUAGGCGAUGAUCCCGCAGGGGUGAAUUGCCUGAUGGCGAGUGGCGGACGGGUGAGUAAGGCAUGGGAAUUUACCGUAUAGUGGGGAAAAACUUAGAGAAAUCUAGGCUAAUACCGCAUAAUCUCUACGGAGGAAAGGGGGCCUCUUCUUGAAAGCCCUCGCUAAACGAAAAGCCCAUGUCCGAUUAGCUUGAUGGUGAGGUAAAGGCUUACCAUGGCUACGAUCGGUAACUGGUCUGAGAGGACGACCAGUCACACUGGGACUGAGACACGGCCCAGACUCCUACGGGAGGCAGCAGUAGGGAAUCUUGGACAAUGGGGGAAACCCUGAUCCAGCAAUGCCGCGUGUGUGAAGAAGGUUUACGGAUUGUAAAGCACUUUCAGCGGGGAAGAAACCAAUGAGAUUAAUACCCUCAUAUAUGACGUUACCCGCAGAAGAAGCACCGGCUAAUUCCGUGCCAGCAGCCGCGGUAAUACGGGAGGUGCAAGCGUUAAUCGGAGUUACUGGGCGUAAAGGGUGCGUAGGUGGUGUAGAAAGUCAGAUGUGAAAUCCCCGGGCUUAACCUGGGAACUGCAUUUGAAACUUCAACACUAGAGUACGAUAGAGGAAAGCAGAAUUUCGGGUGUAGUAGUGAAAUACGCAGAUAUCCGAAGGAAUACCAACGGCGAAGGCAGCUUUCUGGGUCGAUACUGACACUG